AAAAAAUUCAAAUUUCGUCUAAAAUAGCCAGUAUUAGGUACCAUUUUGAAAACAUCAGAAUAAUCUUCAUUAAUUUUGCCUAAUUUGGCUAAAGAAUUUUCUUCAUAUCUCCAAUGAGAAGGGUGGGGGAAGAUCAUAAAUAAUGCAACUUUUUAAUCGCCCUGUACACAGAUUCUUUAUUAAAAGUAAUUCAAGUGGGUACUCGUUUAAAAGGAAAUUCAAAGGGCUUUCAAAAUAUGCACAUGUUAAUGUCAUUUUGUUUUUAGUGAAGUCGUCAGAGGGCGUUGUUCAACAGAAACUGGGUUUUUAAAGAUUUUCUCUAAAAAGUUAAAUGCAAUGAUAUGAUUUUUUCACUGCGGUUUCGAAGACUUAAAACAUACUAACAAACCAGUGAAAACCGCGUUUCGAUAUCUCUAUUUGUUUUCGAGUAAUUUUAAAAUAACCUAUUUUUCAAAUUUUAAACAUUAUUAGCAAUAUUAGGGCGGUCUUUGUGACAGAAUGUUAUCAAAAAUUACUGAAAAUUAUUUGAAAGCUCAUAAUCAUAUUUCCACUUGAAAAUAUAAUUGGCAAUCGAGAAUCUCCGAAUAUGAUUUAUUAGAGCAUUAUUUAUUAAUUCUAUUUGAAUAUUACUAUUAUAUCAAGAGACCUAUGGAAAUAUAAACAGAAACAAAGGAUUGGAAAAUGUCAUUUAAAGUUACUUAAAUUGACAGUUGUCAGUUUUAAGUUAUUUCUUAUGUGUAAGUGUUUUUUUACUACAAAUUAAUAAGUUUAAAAAUGAAAAUUCCAAAUGAAGUAGCCUAUAAUAUGCUAGCAGUUUAUUUCGAAUGCAAUCAUAACUCAACGGUUGCCUCUCGAAUAUAUGCUAUGCGGUAUCCAGAACAGAGACAUUAUACGAAAAGGACAUUUGCAAGAUUAGCUACUCGGUUGCGAGAAAAUGGCAGUAUCCAUUUACCUCUUAACAGAAGACGUCGCUCUGGACGAUCUGAAGAAAAUAUUGUUAAUGUGCUUGCUUUUAUUGGAUUAUACCCUCACAUAGGAAUAAGGCAUAUUUCAUUGGAUUUGGGCAUUACGAAAUCAACUGUGCAUAACAUUUUAAGAGACCACAGGUUGCAUCCAUAUCAUAUGGUGCUGCAUCAGGAAUUAACAGGAACCGAUUUUGAUAGACCACUUGAUUAUUGUAACUGGUUAAGCAAUAUGAUGGAAGAAGAUCCCCAGUUUGUCUCAAAAAUUCUAUGGACAGACGAGGCAACUUUCACCAGUGUUGGUAGUGUAAAUUUACACAAUAUGCACUAUUGGGCUCCCACAAAUCCCCACUGGAUGAGAGAAGUGCAGUAUCAGGGUCGGUGGUCUGUUAAUGGUGUGGGAUAAUAGGGGGAAGAAUUAUUGGUCCAUACAUUUUUGAAGAGGUUCUCAAUGGACACACCUAUUUAGAUUUUUUACAAGAUCAUUUGCCUGUACUGCUUCAAGACAUCCCAAUUCAAACCCGUGCAAGGAUGUUUUUACAGCAAGAUGCAUGUCCCGUGCAUUUUGCGAUAAAUGUAAGAGAUUUUUUAAAUUUAUGGUUUCCUCAUAGGUGGAUUGGUCGAGGAAGUAUAUUUCCUUGGCCCCCGCGAUCUCCUAUGAUCUGACUUGCCUAGAUUUUUAUUUGUGGGGCAGACUAAAGGAUAUCGUUUACCAAACCAGACCUACAACAUGAGAUGAUAUGAUAGCCAGGAUCAGAAAUGCGGUAACAAGCAUAUCAGUUGCCGAAGUGGAGGCUGCAGUUCACGUUACUUAUCGAAAAGUACGCGACUCUAUUAGUAACGAUGGCGGACACUUCGAACAUCUUGAAAGAAAUUGAUUUAGUUAUAUGUUUUAUUUUUAUUUAUUUUAUAUUUAGUAUUAAUUUGCGCUAUUUGUUAUAAUUGUUUAGUCAGAAGGAUUUUGAAGAUUGAAUAAGAGGUAAACGGAUACUGCCAUUUUCUGCUAACCGAGUAGUUAAUCUUGCAAAUGUCCUUUUCGUAUAAUGUCUCUGUUCUGGAUAUCGCAUAGUAUAUAUAUUAUUCUAGAGGCAUCCGUUGAGUUCUGAGUGCAUUUGAAAUAAACUGUUAUCAAGUCGGGGCAGUUUAAUUUUUGUAACGUUUUUUUUUCAGGUUGAUCGGCGUUGCCAUUCGCCUAAAACGUCUAAUAGGCCAUCUACCGUGAAUCACCCUGUAUAUUAAUGCUACUCGAUAUAUGUGAAAACGCUGAGACAAACUCUUCCACUUCUCCUUUCCGAUUCCGACUUAUCUAAUCUGUCAAUUCCUGCUAAUUCUGAAUCAUUUGUUAAAUUUAUUAUAGGUACUUAUUUUUUACAAUUUGAAAAAUAGGUUAUUUUAAAAUUACUCGAAAACAAAUGGAGAUAUCGAAACGCGGUUUUUACUGGUUUGUUAGUAUGUUUUAUGUCUUCGAAACCGCAGUGAAAAAAUCAUAUCAUUGCAUUUAACUUUUUAGAGAAAAUCUCUAAAAAUCCAGUCUCUGUUAAACAACGCCCUCUGACGACUUCACUGAAAACAAAGUGACAUUGACAGGUGCAUGUUUUGAAAGCCCUUUGAAUUUCCUUUUAAACGAGUACCCACUUGAAUUACUUUUAAUAAAGAAUCUGAGUAAACAGGGCGAUUAAAAAGUUGCAUUAUUUAUGAUCUUCCCCCACCCUUCUCAUUGGAGAUAUGAAGAAAAUUCUUUAGCCAAAUUAAGGCAAAAUUAAUGAAGAUUAUUCUGAUGUUUUCAAAAUGGUACCUAAUACUGGCUAUUUUAGACGAAAUUUGAAUUUUUUGAAAUUACUGUGCAGUUACGUCCUCUUGUGGUAGUCUUAGGAACUUGUAAAUAUUUUCCAGCCAUUUUUUUUGGCCACUUUUCUUAAGAAAUUUUUUUUUUCAGCGCUGUGCGAUGAAUAGUUUUUGAGAUACAGCCGGCGUCCUUUCUUAUUUGGACACCCGGUACAUAAAGUAGGCCGACUUCAGUGUAUAAAAAUGGUUUUUCCAAUUAGAGGACAUAGCUGCAUGGAAUGUGAUCGUAAUAUGGGCUUAAUCAAUUCCAAAGCUUUUGUCGAACUACCUUUCGGUUGGAAUGAUCACAUUCGAAAUGCCCGCGUUAAACCAAGUCUCUUUAAAGUAGUGAGCUGUGAAGAUCAAGAAAUUUUGGAAGCUGGACUGAUCAUUUAACAAACUAUUAUGUAACAAAAUGUCCCUUUGAAACCCGCCCAACCAGAGGACUGCUCAUAAAAAAAGAAGAGCCCAGAAUGAUCGAUCAUCGUGAUUCGUACAAUGGAGGCUUUAUUUCAAGCGUCGUAGUGCCUACAAAAAAAAAACUGGGAACUACCAAAAAAGGAAAAGCAGCCAGAGGCAAAAUUAAAAAAUGCAGACAAUAUAUAGUUGGUAUAUUAGAUCUACCUUCAGGACAAUUUGAACUUCCAAAUUUCAAAUAUGAAAACAGGAUUCCCAUCAAUGCUAAGAAAUACCAAAACCUGCAGGAUUUAAAACGUUUUUGUAGUGUCGAAGCUUAACUUUACUUUGAAAAUUUAAAUGUAACUGAAUAAAAAAUUUUUGGACCUUCAUCUUUUUUUUUUCCUGAUUUUAUGUACAUAACCAUAAUGAAAUUUUUUUCUAGAUGCUUAUGUUAAAAAAUUAGUAGUUUUAAACUCUUUUAGUAAAAACAUAUACAUAAGCCUACCUUUUAAAAAAAAUCUUCCAAAAAGAGUUAAGCUAUAAGAAAAUACAAGGUUUUUAAAUUUAAAAUCUGUUUUGCACAAAACUUUGGAUAUGUAACCCUCAUCCUUUUUCGCCUGUAGUCUUCAUUUGGUAAUAAAAUACUAGGCAUACUUUGUUUCUUCCUUACUAAAACUUUUUGUCCCAUAAUCUGCAUUUUCCCCAAACAAUAGAAUAGUUUUUUUUUGCACUUUAUUUUUUCUAUUUUGCCCUGUAGAUUUUCUAUAAUUACUCGCAUUUUCUGUUAGUUUUCCUCAUAUUUUGCUUUCAUCAUCAAUAAUUUUAAAGAUCAAUAAAUAAAAGUUCUUUUUACACGAUUCGUAGAUAUCCAUGAUUCGUACACAUCCAUAUUUAGAUUUUAAUUCUUAAGAUCUUUAAUUUUUCUAUAUAGUUGCGCACCUGCGCUAUGCCUAGACCACGAUUGUCAUUUACCACUCAGAACAGCUUCUGGUUACCAAGAAGUAUUGUAUUGUUGCAGAAUAUUAUGCAAGGAAAGGUACGGGAAAAAAGGGGAAGAAGAAGACGCUUGUCCUGGUGAAAUAACCUGAAAAAAUGGUAGUUCCGUUGAGUUGUUUAGAGCUGACCGUAGCCGAUCGAUAGUUCUAGCCUGGACACUUAUCCCCGCUUCCAUCGAUACCUCACAACAGAAGCCGAAAUCAUGCGAGGCGACGACCGCAUCGCGAUGGCAAAAAUUCCGCGCUGGGGCACAUAUUUUGCGUUGAUUCGAAAUAAUAUUUUACUGCAGUUAUUAUUGUAGUUUAUAGUAAGAUUAUGCAUUUAAAAUUUUAGUUUUAAAAAGAAUAAAGAUUCGGUAUUUAAAUUAGGUGGGUAAAUUAACAAUUUUAUUUUUAACUUACAUUUUACAAUCUUAAUUUUAUUUAGAAUAAUGCCUACCUCUUGCUGCAUUCCUGUUUAAGCUCAGAAAAAAUUAUAAUGGAUUUUAAAUUUUUUUUUUGUUUUUUUUUUAUUAUCUUCGGAAUCAUUCAAAUUUUUGAUUUUUUAAAUAAGCAACAAAAAUUUAGCGUAGGUACCUACCUAAUUCCGUUUUCGGCAUUAACAUUUUUACGAAAAAGUAAUACAGCAAUGCAAAAACUUUCCCAUAGCAACCAAGAUAACCCACAAAAGUGUCAAGAAUAAGUUUUUGAAAAUUUGUUUUUUUUUCAAUAAUCUUCAAAACUACAUAAAAUAUAAUAUAUAUAUUUUUUAUAUGGCAUAUUCUUUUACAAGUAAAUAAUGUGCAACUUUGGGGUAAAUUAUCCAUUUUCGUAUUUUGAGAAUAGACGAAUUUGAAACACCGUUUAUGUAUAUUUUUCCAAUAAAAUAAAUAAUAAAAAAUAUUUAAAACAUUUAUCAUAUACCUAAAAAUACGUAAUAAUAAAAAAAAUCUAUUAUCUUGUAAAAUGUAAAAUAUUAGGUCCCGCGGUAUCUCCACUUAGUCGUUCCACUGUACGGCGUGCGCCACCAAAUCUCGGCUUCAAUUUUGACGCCACGAAACCAGUGUCACGGCUAGAACUCUCGAUCGGCUACGAGCUGACGCAUCAAAAGUAAGAAUAGCUAUGAUAAUAGCCAACCUUCACUUGAAGAAGAAGAAAGAAAAAGACUGACCUUUGUACAUGUCAAUAAAGACCUUUUUUAUUGAUUCUACUAAAUCUUGGGAUGCAAUAAAACCAAUUUAUUAAAUAUAUACAUAAAAUUUAUUAGAAAAAUCGUUGAAAAUAAAUUAAGAAAUAAAUUUUAUAAAAUAUCAAAAAUAUAACAAAUUUUAACCAUAAAAGAAUUUUUUCGUAAAUAUUCUAAUAUUGCACUUAGUGAUGUAUUUUCAAUACAAUAAAAACGUAAUACUUAUAAUAUGGAUACUAAUAUGUAAAAAGCAGUUUAGAGACUUAAAAAUCUCUAUAAAUAUAAACUUAAAAAUAGCGGAAUAAAUGUCUGAAAUUAAAAAAUAAAAUCUCAAAACGAGUUAAUACUAUUAAGGCCGGACAAUUUAUCUUACAAGAGAUCUAAGCGAAGUAAUGAAUAAAACUCCAUUGUCAACCGAAACAGCACAACUUAAUAAAAUAAUCGUGGUCCCUGUCUAUCGAACACGUUUUUCCUUUAUUCAACGGUAACACUUUUAGCCAAAUUACGCGGGCAAUCGACGUUACAUCCACGUCUGACCGCGAUAUGGAAUGACAACAAUUGCAUCGGAAUGACAGUUAAAAUUCCUUGUAAACAAUCGACAGUUUUUGGCACGGCCAAGUGCUGAUUGGCCAGAGACAUUGUUUCGGUGUCGCCCUCCUCACAAAUCAGGAUUGGAUUGCCAUCACGGGAUUUUACCUAAGAAAAAUUUGUUAUUAACAGUAGUCUUCAUUUAUUAGAAAAUUACUUGUAUGUAGAAAAAAAAACAAUACUAAAGAUAUAUGAUCAGACAAUUUUUAUUAUUAUUGGUUUUUCAUUCACUUGACUUUGCUUGGGAGAAAAUAAAGAUUCGUACACAAUUUGAAGUACAAACAAGGUUUUCUCCAUUUAAAAAUUAUUUUAUUUCUGAAACCAUAGAAGUACAUGUAUUGGUAAAACUGGACUACUGACGGCCGAUUUUUGAAGAAUUGUAAACAAAUGCAUGCAAAAAAAGAACAAAGAUAAAAAAUGUUUAUGUUGAUAUAAUAACUUUUUCUCCAUUUAGAAUUUCAUGAGUUUUACUUCAGUAAGUUCCGAUAUUUGACGUGAUUUUAAUUUUAUAUAUUGAUUUCUUGCAAAAUGAAUCUGCCGCAACGAGAAAACCGCAAUUUGUCAGAAGCUGACUGUCUGAGAGUUGUUGCUGUCUGAGACUGUCUGAUUUCUACGAAUUCAUGUCUUCAGACAACGGUUUGUGACUAGCACUUCUUCACAAAAUGAGUUCCUGGACCGUUACAUCUUUAGAUAGUCAAGAAAGUGUAGUCAAAAAAUUGUCCGAAUAGUAGGCAAUUUUUUAUGGUCUGGUUAGUUAUACAGGGUGAUUCAAAAGUAAGCGGCAUCCUUUCAGGGGCGUAAUCCUUGUAUGAAAAUAGGGCAAAAAGUUCAUACUAAUAUACAAAUUUAAAUUUAAAAUUAAAUUUAAUUCUAAAGGGUUUUAAAGUUAUAGAGAAAAAAUUGUCUUCAAGGGGUCCUAUUCAAAGGGGCGUAGCUCCCUUAGGAAGCAAUUUCGAACCCAUAUUAAUAUGAACUUUUUGCCUUAUUUUCAUACAAGGAUUACGCCCCUGAAAGGAUGCUGCUUACUUUUAAAUCACCCUGUAUAGGAUAGCAAGAACAUAACUAUAUCUACCUGUUGAGAAAGGUGGGCUUAACUUAAUAAUUGUUGAAUAUAAAGCAAAGGCUUUAUUUAUUAAAAAUCAUAUAACUCAUGGACUAAGAAAAAUCGCGGUAUUAUACAGGGUGUUCCGUUGAUCAUGUUACGAACUUCUAGGGCAGAUAGAAAACGUCAAAAGAAAAAAAAAAGUUCAUAUAAACAUGAGUCCGGAAAAGCUUCCUCAGGGAGCUAGAGCUUUUUGAAAAUAACCUUUAAAAACUAGUUUUUUUUUAAUAGCUCCGGAACUACUUUAGCUACCGCAACCAAUUUUGGGAGGUAAAUUAUUGUUAGUACGUUUAUUCUUUUGAACCUACUAAAAAAAUAUUUACCAGGGGCUUCAGAAUCAGGUAAAUAUUUUUUUUAUUUAGUAGGUUCAAAAGAAUAAAUUGUUUUAUAAAUAUAAAUGUUAAAAUUAAAUAAUUAGUCAAAAUGGCUUAAAAAUCAAAAUUUUUAAUAUUAUAUGUUAUAUUUAUUUAUUUUUUGUAAAAAAAAAACAAUUCUCGAGUUAUCUCGUGGUCGGGCGUCUCCGAGCAGAAGUUUCUUGCAGCGCCCAACCACGAGAUAACUCGUUAGGCGGAGAGAUGGUAAACACGUGGCGGCACAACCUUUGUCGCUCGCAGAAGCAGUUAGUUUAGUAUAAGCACAGACUUCAAGUGAAAGUGAUCAGGAUCAAAUCCAGCCACCCGAAGAAUCACAUUUAGAUCCUGAGUGGGUUGACAUUGCGGACGAGCACAUUGAAGACGAGCUACCAGAAGUGCCAGACUUAGACGCAGAGUGGGUUGACAUUGAGGAGGAGCCACCACAUUUUGAUUUUUUGGUAAAUGAUGUUGGAUUUAUGUCUUAAGAACCAGUAACGAUAAAAUAUCUUGUAAAUUUAUUCUUUUCUAAUGAGUUUUUAAGCUAUUUGGCACAACAAACAAAUUUGUAUGCGACCCAGGAGAUCGCAAAACACCCUUUGACAAGGUCCUCCAGAUUGAUCAGAUGGGUCGAAACCUCAAAUGAACUGCAAAUAUUUUUCGGUCUUCUUUUACAUAUGGGUCCAUGUAGCUUCCCAUCUAUUGAGAUUAUUGGUCUCAACAUAUGUACAAGAUGCCCUUUUGGCGCCAGGUUAUGAGCAGAAAUCGGUUCCAGUUACUGUUGCGUUUUUUGCAUUUCGCUGGCAAUUCGGGAGUGACUGAAGAUCGUUUAUUUAAGAUUAGACCAGUCCUUGAUCAUUUCAACAAAAUAAUGCAGGAUCACUAUGUUCCAGACAAAAACUUAUGCAUUGAUGAAUCAAUGGUCUUAUGGCGUGGCAGGCUUAUUUUUAGACAAUAUAUAAAAAUAAAAAGCAUAAGUACUGGGUAAAAUUAUAUGAACUAUGCUAAUCCGCUGGCAUGGUUCUAAAAAUAAAAGUAUAUUGCGGGAAAUCAGAAGCUAUCGAGAAUGAUUUGGGGCAUGCUGCAAGUGUGGUUCUUCACUUAAUGGAAAAUUAUUUAGACAAGGGUUAUGUACUCUAUACUGAUAAUUUUUAUAAUUCAGUAGGCUUAACUAAUAACAUGACAGCGAAAAAAACAUAUAUUUGUGGCACCUUACGCGGUAAUCGAAAGGGAAAUCCAAAGUAUGUCGUUUCAGAAAAGCUAAAAAAAGGCGAAUGUAUAUGGCAAAGACGCAAAUCAGUAGUUGUUUGCAAGUGGAAGGACAAGCGAGAGGUAUUGACGAUUUCAAAUAUGCACAAAGUACAAAUGAUUGAAGUGCGCAACAGGAACGGAAAAGUUUCUGUGAAACCUAAUAUAAUAAAGGACUACAAUGCAGGAAUGUCAGGUAUCAACCAGUCCGAUCAAAUGCUAUACUUGGGUUACCGAACAGAUGAAGUGGUCACGUGAUCGUUCUGCGCCGGAGGUGUGGCCUAGAGCCUCGAUAGGGUUCAUGACUUGGGGUUUUAUUUAAUUUUAUUAGUCGAGCGGCUUUAGAUCGUUUUGGUUGAAUUUUCUGCUAUUCGAAUAUUUGAAUCUUCGCAAUAUUGAAAAGUUAAGAUUGUGUUUAUCUUUUUGUUAAUUUGUUUGUUAACAAAUAAUGGCUGACGCGCCACGUACACCCCCAUUGUCACCCCCCAAGAAAAGAGUACGAAAACAUUGCUGAAAAGGAAGUGAUUAUGAACAUAUAUAAAACAUGUGAUAAUGAGCAUCCAGCAUACAACAAAGUGCAAAAAGUCCAGUUCACAGCAGAAGCAGCACGUAAUAAAUAUUUUUAAUAUACAGUGUGUCCCAGGAUGAGCGAAUUUAUACGUGAAAAUGACAAAAAAUGCUGUGGUUAAAAUUUGACCGUUUGGCAUCCAGCCUUGCUUGAUUACAAAAUAAAAUUUAGUAUAUUAUUAUUAUUUUUAAAUCAAGCUUGCCUUGAUACGAAGCAAAGCUGUACGAUAAAAUAAUUUAAAAUAAGUAGGCAUAAUGCUCCUCGUCUAAAUCUGCCAAGGUUGCAUCGAUGGGCGGGCCUAUAUUUUGCGCACAUCAUUUACUCAAUCUGUUCGGCAAUCCGACUAUAAGUUACUAUAGCGCACUAAGAAAAACCAUUAGAUGGCCGAAAAAGAUUGCAUUGCAUAUUCUCGAAAUAUAUAUACAUAACGCUUACUUGCUGUUUCGUAAAUCGACCGGAAGCAGAAUAAAAUCUUUAAAAUUUACUCUUCUCGGUAAUAAAAUGCCAGCAGCGUACAACAGCGGGAUUUUAACUAUUUGGAAGGUAUACCACCAACCGAAAGAAAAUAACGACCUACAAGAGAUUGCCGUGUAUGUGCUUCGAAUAAACUUCGACGAGAAAUACGUUAUUUCUGUACUGUCUGUGAAGAAAAACCAGCCUUAUGUGUGGAAAAUUGCUUCAAGGACCACCUCAAUUAAAAAUGACUAAACAAGAUUUUUUAGACAAUUUUUUUUUGUAAACUUCAUAUUAUUAUCUUAACUAUCUGUAAACACUAGCAAUUAAGUUUCCCUAUUUUUAAGGCACAGUUUAUGUUUUCCGCUUUUUGUUAGAACUAAAAACAUUUUUAAUUUUUUUUUGUGUCACUGCAUUUUGCUUCCUCUGUACUAAACAAGAUGAAAAUAUAAUUUAAAAAUAA
Anthonomus grandis grandis is the source of this 10117-nucleotide long non-coding RNA. RefSeq lists it as uncharacterized. The record is from RefSeq and is a predicted model, not a curated record. The transcript has 2 exons. Lineage: Eukaryota; Metazoa; Arthropoda; Insecta; Coleoptera; Curculionidae.